GNAAGNNNCGGGGUGCCUAAUACAUGCAAGUCGAGCGGACAGAUGGGAGCUUGCUCCCUGAUGUUAGCGGCGGACGGGUGAGUAACACGUGGGUAACCUGCCUGUAAGACUGGGAUAACUCCGGGAAACCGGGGCUAAUACCGGAUGCUUGAUUGAACCGCAUGGUUCAAUUAUAAAAGGUGGCUUUUAGCUACCACUUACAGAUGGACCCGCGGCGCAUUAGCUAGUUGGUGAGGUAACGGCUCACCAAGGCAACGAUGCGUAGCCGACCUGAGAGGGUGAUCGGCCACACUGGGACUGAGACACGGCCCAGACUCCUACGGGAGGCAGCAGUAGGGAAUCUUCCGCAAUGGACGAAAGUCUGACNGACCAACGCCGCGUGAGUGAUGAAGGUUUUC
RNAcentral lists this ribosomal RNA (398 nucleotides) under Bacillus licheniformis. RNAcentral's name for it is "bacterial SSU rRNA". It matches the Rfam family "Bacterial small subunit ribosomal RNA", at positions 39 to 419 of the family's 1533-position model. The record is from RNAcentral. Lineage: Bacteria; Bacillati; Bacillota; Bacilli; Caryophanales; Bacillaceae.